AUUGAGUGCCGGGGGAGCCCAGAAGGCUGAGAGUGCUGAAAGCAGACCCCAAGAACCUGAUCCGGUUAGCACCGGCGUAGGGAAGGCCAUGGC
This is a non-coding RNA of Mesotoga prima, 93 nucleotides long. Lineage: Bacteria; Thermotogati; Thermotogota; Thermotogae; Kosmotogales; Kosmotogaceae. The record is from Rfam.